UUUUCCUCCGCAAUUGAUACUG
RNAcentral lists this microRNA (22 nucleotides) under Picea abies (Norway spruce). RNAcentral's name for it is "pab-miR11551b". Lineage: Eukaryota; Viridiplantae; Streptophyta; Pinopsida; Pinales; Pinaceae. The record is from miRBase by way of RNAcentral.